Molecule: small nuclear RNA, 108 nt
Organism: Bison bison bison
Lineage: Eukaryota; Metazoa; Chordata; Mammalia; Artiodactyla; Bovidae
Source: Ensembl
GAGCUCAGGUUCGGCAGUACAUAUACUAAAAUUGGAACGAUACAGAGAAGAUUAGCAUGGCCCCUGUGCAAGGAUGAUAGGCAAAUUCAUGAAGCGUUCCAUUAUUUU